RNAcentral lists this ribosomal RNA (386 nucleotides) under uncultured Chrysophyceae. RNAcentral's name for it is "partial small subunit ribosomal RNA". It matches the Rfam family "Eukaryotic small subunit ribosomal RNA", at positions 30 to 432 of the family's 1831-position model. The record is from RNAcentral. Lineage: Eukaryota; Chrysophyceae.
GCUUGUCUCAAAGAUUAAGCCAUGCAUGUCUUAGUGUAAAUAACUCUUAUGAAACUGCGAAUGGCUCAUUAAAUCAGUUAUCGUUUAUUUGAUGGUCCCUUACUACAUGGAUAACCGUAGUAAUUCUAGAGCUAAUACAUGCGUCAAGCCCCGACUCACGAAGGGGUGUAUUUAUUAGAUUGAAACCAAUGCGGGGUAACCCGGUGUUUGGUGAUUCAUAAUAACUUUCGGAUCGCAUUUGCGAUGCAUCAUUCAAGUUUCUGCCCUAUCAGCUUUGGAUGGUAGGGUAUUGGCCUACCAUGGCUUUAACGGGUAACGGAGAAUUAGGGUUCGAUUCCGGAGAGGGAGCCUGAGAAACGGCUACCACAUCUAAGGAAGGCAGCAGG